AGGAAUAUUGGUCAAUGGACGAGAGUCUGAACCAGCCAAGUAGCGUGAAGGAUGAAGGUUCUAUGGAUUGUAAACUUCUUUUAUACGGGAAUAAACGGAUCCACGUGUGGAUUUUUGCAUGUACCGUAUGAAUAAGGAUCGGCUAACUCCGUGCCAGCAGCCGCGGUAAUACGGAGGAUCCGGGCGUUAUCCGGAUUUAUUGGGUUUAAAGGGAGCGUAGAUGGGUUGUUAAGUCAGUUGUGAAAGUUUGCGGCUCAACCGUAAAAUUGCAAUUGAUACUGGCAGUCUUGAGUACAGUUGAGGUAGGCGGAAUUCGUGGUGUAGCGGUGAAAUGCUUAGAUAUCACGAAGAACUCCGAUUGCGAAGGCAGCUUACUAACCUGUAACUGACAUUGAUGCUCGAAAGUGUGGGUAUCAAACAGGAUUAGAUACCCUGGUAGUCCACACGGUAAACGAUGAAUACUCGCUGUAGGCGAUAUACAGUCUGCGGCCAAGCGAAAGCAUUAAGUAUUCCACCUGGGGAGUACGCCGGCAACGGUGAAACUCAAAGGAAUUGACGGGGGCCCGCACAAGCGGAGGAACAUGUGGUUUAAUUCGAUGAUACGCGAGGAACCUUACCCGGGCUUAAAUUGCAACCGAAUAUGGCGGAAACGCCAUAGCUAGCAAUAGCGGUUGUGAAGGUGCUGCAUGGUUGUCGUCAGCUCGUGCCGUGAGGUGUCGGCUUAAGUGCCAUAACGAGCGCAACCCUUGCCGAUAGUUACUAACAGGUUAUGCUGAGGACUCUGUCGGGACUGCCAUCGUAAGAUGUGAGGAAGGUGGGGAUGACGUCAAAUCAGCACGGCCCUUACGUCCGGGGCUACACACGUAUUACAAUGGGGGGUACAGAGGGCUGCUACCACGCAAGUGGAUGCCAAUCCCAAAAACCUCUCUCAGUUCGGAUUGAAGUCUGCAACCCGACUUCAUGAAGCUGGAUUCGCUAGUAAUCGCGCAUCAGCCACGGCGCGGUGAAUACGUUCCCG
This 1018-nucleotide ribosomal RNA is filed under the name uncultured bacterium. Its description in RNAcentral is "bacterial SSU rRNA". It matches the Rfam family "Bacterial small subunit ribosomal RNA", at positions 357 to 1376 of the family's 1533-position model. The record is from RNAcentral.